CCCGUGAGCUCGUGGCCUUCCCAAAGCGCUCGUCACUUUCCCCAAUUUGGCCGGACGGCAGCCUCCAAAUCUCCAAUUCGUCGUCGCCUUUGCCUCCGGCCAACACCACCACUUCUCGGCGGCUCGCCCUCUCCGUGUCCAGUUAAUCACUGCUCGUCCCCAACUCGUAGAAGCCACAGCUCGCCUCCCCUCUGCCAUGGACGACAUGGCACACGCGCGACGCCGGCGGUCGAUUUCCCUCGAUGCCUAGGUUGCCGCCUCUAUCUCCACUUCGUCCGUUCCUGCAUAGGCUUUGUACGGCUUUGGUAGUCAGCCCGCCGGAGCCCAAAAUAAGGACAGGGACAUCGGUCUCGCCUGCGUCGUCGUCAAGCGCAAGCUCCUGGUGGAUGCUCUGCGCCGUCCUUGGCGCCUUCGUCCUCAUCGAUGUCUCUACCAUCAUCAGCCUACUCCAUGGCCUGCCAUCAGACAAGUACAUCCACGCUCUCAAGAAGGUGCUCCAAUUCUUCAACCGCAGAAAUCGAUGAUGAGUGAUGCGUCCGCUAGGCGAUCAAUUGCGUUUAUAGCAUCAUCACCUGAUCGCUUAUGCCCCUUUGAAGAUACAGCACCUAGUCCGGAUGCAGUAGAGCUCGCACAUAUGUCUUGCAGGUCUAUCCAACUAGGCCACACUUUAUCACUGAUGACGAAUCUGCAAAUUGAAUGCUGCUGAUGAAAACAAGUUCAGGAAGAGAUCCCUUGUCUUCCCAGCAGCGGCCAACUGCCAGUAAUCGGUGUUCCCAGCCUAGCGCCGGCGGCCAGGGAAUCGGUGAUCACAACAGGUGUUAGCGGCUAGCCAUUGAACUAGGUUUCCAGAUCUGUUUUGCCGAGGUUUGUUCUACCACCGUCCAGUUUAUAUAGAAG
Molecule: long non-coding RNA, 897 nt
Organism: Triticum dicoccoides
Lineage: Eukaryota; Viridiplantae; Streptophyta; Magnoliopsida; Poales; Poaceae
Exons: 4
Source: RefSeq, a predicted model, not a curated record